AAUACAUAUCAGAAAAAGAAAUAGACAGAAAAAAAAAAAAAAUGUUUUCGAAGGUUUUCGUCAUGUGCUUCUUUGGUAUUAUUAUGGUGGGAGGCAUGGCUCCGGUAGUCCAUGCUUUAGUUCACAAGUUUGAAGUGAGAAGAACUUCACACAGCAGGCUAUGCACCAACAAAACCAUGCUAACGGUAAACGGCCAAUUCCCGGGGCCAACUAUAUAUGCUAGAAGGGGAGAAGUGGUGGUAGUCGAUGUUAUUAAUCGCUCCCAUCAAAAUAUUACUAUCCACUGGCAUGGAGUAAAAAUGCGGAGAUAUCCAUGGACAGAUGGAGUCAACUACGUGACACAGUGUCCUAUUAGUCCCGGCAAGAGGUUUAGACAACAGAUUGUGCUGUCUAACGAAGAAGGCACUUUGUUUUGGCACGCUCACAGCGAUUGGUCUCGAGCUACUGUGUAUGGCGCCAUAGUCAUUCUACCGCCCGAAAACACACACUUAUCCUUUCCCUAAGCCUCAUGCUCAAGUUCCAAUCUUACUAGGAGAGUGGUGGAACGAUGAUGUGGAACAAGUUUACAAGAAUUUUCUAGCCGAAGGACGCGAUCCCAAAGUUUCUGAUGCAUUCGUCAUGAAUGGCCAACCUGGCGACCUAUAUCCAUGCUCAAAACAAGAUACAUUCAAGUUGAGUGUGGAGGCGGGCAAGACUUACCUGAUCAGAAUGGUUAAUGCAAUGAUGGACUACAUCAUGUACUUCAAGAUCCACAACCACAACAUCACCGUCGUCGGCAUGGACGGCACCUACACGAAGCCGCUGAACACCGAUCACGUCGCCAUUGCCCCCGGCCAGACCAUGGAUUUCCUUCUCGAAGCCAACCAGCCGCCCAACCGUUAUUACAUGGCCGGCGUCGUACACGCCUCCGGAGCGGAUUACGUCCCCACCACCGGAAUCCUCGACUACCUCGGUAACUACACCCCGCCGUCGUCGCCCGUCCUUCCAUCUUUCCCUGACUUGAGUGGCAGCUGGGCGUCGACCCAUUUCAGCAAGAGGCUCAGAAGCCUGGCCAACGACGACUACCGCAUCCAAGUUCCCAAGAACAUCACACGCAACCUCUUCUUCGUUCUCUCCAUCAAUCUGUGGCCAUGUCUCACGAGUUCGUGCGUGCAGAGCGAGAGGCUGCUGGCGAGCAUUAACAACGUGUCGAUGCUGAUGCCGCAAAACGGCAACAUUCUCGAGGCUUAUUACAAAGGGGUCAGAGGAGUUUUCACGCCCGAUUUCCCGGCGCAGCCGGCGAGAGUGUUCGACUUCACGCAAGGUGAUUUUCCGCAGAGUGAGUCGCACCCCCGAUUCGGAACGGCUGUGUACAUGUUGGAGUAUAACUCGGAAGUUGAGAUCGUGCUUCAAGGCACCAACCUCGGCGAGGGAAUCGACCAUCCCAUACAUUUACAUGGAUACACUGUCUACGUCGUCGGAACCGGAUUCGGGAACUUCGACCCAACCAGGGAUCCGGAAAACUAUAAUCUCGUUGACCCGCCGUUGAUGGACACCUUUGCCGUUCCAAGAAAUGGAUGGGCUGUUAUCAGAUUCAAGGCUAACAAUCCCGGAGUGUGGUACAUGCACUGCCAUUUCGAGCGGCAUCUGAGCUGGGGAAUGAAGAUGGUGUUCAUCGUUAAGGACGGGGAAGGCCCCAAUGAGAAGAUGCUGCCGCCGCCGCCAGAUAUGCCGCCCUGUGAUGCGCCCCCUCAAGCAUUAGUAUUUAGGAUUUGAUUUAUUAAUUUGUUUGGGAUUUGAAUAAUGAUAUACUCUUUUGUAAGAGUGAAAGAUGGAGGGUAGAAAUUCCAAUCACCUCAAAACAUAUAUAUCCCCCAAACUAAAAAUCUAUACCUAUUAUAGUAUAUUGUGUUUGUCUUUUGGUGUUUACUUGUCGCUAUGAUAGACGAGUGCUCUUUUUCCUAGCUUGGUGUUUUUUUCUUUGAAUUUUAGCUAGUAAAAUUUUGAUGAGACUCGGCCGCCCUUAGAUUGUGUCAUGUGUUCUGAAGGGUGUGUUACGUCCCUUACUCUUGUUUUGUUCCGUUUUACCCAUUUAUACAUUUGUAGCCAAUGUUGGCCCUAGUGUUCAUGGAAGAGAAGAAGUUGGAACAUUUUAAAGUUUUAAAGUGAAAAUUGAGACAAAUUUAGGAGAAUAAUUUUGCACGGAAGCUUCCUCCGUCAAUAAAUUCUCCUCUAUGGGGCCAAUUUACAGAAACGAAUUUUAUUCUGAAAUUAUUUCAU
RNA transcript from Salvia miltiorrhiza (redroot sage), 2259 nucleotides. It is a transcript of the gene named laccase-14-like, with no coding region annotated. NCBI's taxonomy places the organism in Eukaryota, Viridiplantae, Streptophyta, Magnoliopsida, Lamiales, Lamiaceae. The transcript has 6 exons. The record is from RefSeq and is a predicted model, not a curated record.